RNAcentral lists this ribosomal RNA (434 nucleotides) under uncultured bacterium. RNAcentral describes it as "partial 16S ribosomal RNA". It matches the Rfam family "Bacterial small subunit ribosomal RNA", at positions 28 to 506 of the family's 1533-position model. The record is from RNAcentral.
GAUGAACGCUGGCGGUAUGCUUAACACAUGCAAGUCGAACGGACUCUUCGGAGUUAGUGGCGGACGGGUGAGUAACGCGUGAGAAUCUGGCUUUGGGUUCGGGACAACCACUGGAAACGGUGGCUAAUACCGGAUGUGCCGAGAGGUAAAAGAGAAAUUGCCUGAAGAUGAGCUCGCGUCUGAUUAGCUAGUUGGUGAGGUAAAGGCUCACCAAGGCAGCGAUCAGUAGCUGGUCUGAGAGGAUGACCAGCCACACUGGGACUGAGACCCGGCCCAGACCCCCCGGGGGGGAAGCGGGGGGGAAUUUUCCGCAAUGGGAGAAAGCCUGAAGGAACAAUACCGGGGGGGGGAAGAAGGCUCUUGGGUUUUAAACCUCUUUUCUUAGGGAAGAAAAAAAUGGCGGUACCUAAGGAAUCAGCAUCGGCAAACCCCGU